Molecule: long non-coding RNA, 358 nt
Filed under: Elaeis guineensis (African oil palm)
Lineage: Eukaryota; Viridiplantae; Streptophyta; Magnoliopsida; Arecales; Arecaceae
Description: long non-coding RNA (EGUI_LNC001250)
Source: RNAcentral
CCUUAAUAUAAUAUGUUUCUCUCAUACAUUAGAGAAGUGGAGCUAACUUGUGAAAGCUUAUUCUUUGCUAUUUCAAGGGAUGUAAUUGAAUUACUCAACAUGUUAUUAUUAUUUGUAUUUUGAUUUAUAUGACCAUUUUAGCGUAGCAUUUUCUCUUCUAACAUUUCGAGACACACCUGAAGACCUAUAUCCAUGUCCAAAAAUUUCAUAGCAUCCCAACACUUGAAAUUGACAAGCAAAAUAUUUAAACUAAUCUCCAAUAGAAAUAGUAAUUAAUAAUAUAAGAUAGAAUAAAAAUAUCAAGUCUACAAAAAAAAAUUCGACAUUAUUACAAGUCUAAAAAAUACAAAGUACCACA